This 1703-nucleotide long non-coding RNA is filed under the name Gouania willdenowi (blunt-snouted clingfish). RNAcentral describes it as "lncRNA (ENSGWIG00000002745.1)". Lineage: Eukaryota; Metazoa; Chordata; Actinopteri; Blenniiformes; Gobiesocidae. The record is from RNAcentral.
UUUACAUACCAGUGCUGUGUGCCAGAAGGUUCCUCAGCUUCUGAAGUUGGAUGGAAAUGACCUCCCCCCACCCAUUGGCUUUGAUGUGGACACACCCACCACUCUCCCACCUUGUAAGGUUAGUCAGUGUGAUGCUGAAUUGUCUGUUGUGUUCAAAACGUCACUUGUCAAAGUACAAGAAUAUAGAAGCCACUAUAUUUUUAGAUUCAAGCCUUUUCUUUUCUGUAAUGAACGUCUCAUUUCUCCUGCUAAAUGUUGACCAUGUGAUCACACAGAGAAGCUGCUUUGGCUCUGAUGACGCUAAACGUCUACAUUCAGCGCUUUUUGCAACAGUGAGUUUCUAACAUUUUUCUCUAUGUCGCUUCACAGCGUUUCUAACAAUAAGUAGGAAAUGACAUCAGUGAUUGGUGGUGAUAGGAACAAAGAUGUCGGUGCCACACAUUACUUGAUACACAUGACGUUGUUGUCGCUGCUCAGAUCAUUGAUCAAUGGCCUCAUUUCUAACCGUAGCACAUACACAAAACAUGGCCUGAAAGAAGGUGCGUGACACUAUCCUCCAUAAAUAAAUGAAUGUGUGGGAAACGCUGAUGUUAAGUUUAUCUAAUAAUAGUUUGUUUGUUGUUUUGAGUUAAAUGUGCUAAAUUUGGCACUGGAAAUAAAAGGGCAUUUUGAUAUUUUGAAGUUAGUUUAAAACAAUGAUUAAGCACCAGAAGCGUUAAACGUAGCGAGUAGCAACCGAUACCCAACCCUAGUAAUGAUGGAGCCCACCUGAUGUUUGUCUUGUUUUUUAACUGCCCUAGCGAUGCGUUUCCAUCUGCUGAAGCACACACGACUGAAUGUGGUGAACGUUCCUCAACGAGCUGCCAUAAACCCAGCAUGACAUCAUCUCUUUCACCGUGGACGUAAACGCCUACACAGUGAGUUCAUGUCUGAUCUGCCACACACUGAGUUACAUCAUUUAUGUUGUUCACUCUCAGCCAAACUGCUUUGUUUUCACAGAAUACGCUGCUGUCAUUCACAGUGGGCGGAGUCUUCAAAGAAGUUGUUGUAGAUGAUAAAUCUAAAGAAUCUACAAGGUUUUCAUCACAGUUCCAGCAGUGGAUUCUGGUUUGUGCAUCAUCAACGACCAGCUCUUCAUCAGAAUGGCUACAACGGAGCAGAUCAGCAGAGCUUUUGUGCCCCGCCCCCUUCCUCCAGCCCAGUGACCACCCUCACUGCCCCACAGCAGGAGAUGCUCAGCACCUUCUCCCUGAAGUCAGACAUGAACCUGGAAUGAUCCCUGAAGUGUUUGCAGGACAACAAGUGGGACUUGAACAAAGCAGCACAUAUCUUCACUCAGUUAAAGGUGACAUGACUUUAAACAAUGAAUACUGUUGGUAGUGAGUGUUUUUGAUAGAUUACAAUGGAGCAUUGUAGUCAGUAAAAAAAAAAAAAUCAGUUUUCCAAAUAAUUUUUUUUUUAUCCGUUUUCCGAAUUAUUAUUGUUUUUUAAUUCUUUUUCCAAUUUUUAAAAAAUUGAAAUCCGUUUUCCGAAUUAAUUUUUUAAAACCGUUUUCCCGAAUAUUUUCACUAAAAUCAAAGUAAAUAACUUUUAAAAUCUAAUUUAUUUUCAAAGGAAGAACAAAAACAUUAUGGUUCAAUGUCUGCUUAAAUAAUUUAUUUCUCUUUUUUAAUAAACACUUUUUUUCAAAUAAAGUAAAAGCA